AAACUUUUAACAACGGAUCUCUUGGCUCUGGCAUCGAUGAAGAACGCAGCGAAAUGCGAUACGUAGUGUGAAUUGCAGAAUUCAGUGAAUCAUCGAAUCUUUGAACGCACAUUGCGCCCGCCAGCAUUCUGGCGGGCAUGCCUGUCCGAGCGUCAUU
RNAcentral lists this ribosomal RNA (157 nucleotides) under Striatibotrys yuccae. RNAcentral describes it as "5.8S ribosomal RNA". It matches the Rfam family "5.8S ribosomal RNA". From Rfam's summary of the family: 5.8S ribosomal RNA (5.8S rRNA) is a component of the large subunit of the eukaryotic ribosome. Lineage: Eukaryota; Fungi; Ascomycota; Sordariomycetes; Hypocreales; Stachybotryaceae. The record is from RNAcentral.